Molecule: long non-coding RNA, 1914 nt
Organism: Asterias rubens (European starfish)
Lineage: Eukaryota; Metazoa; Echinodermata; Asteroidea; Forcipulatida; Asteriidae
Exons: 2
Source: RefSeq, a predicted model, not a curated record
UAGUAAACAGGAACAUUAUUUUUGACGUUGAUCAUGUCGAUUUUUGUCAUCUAAAAACUCAGGCAAAAUGUCUCCUUCAAGACCAUCCAUGGGAUUACUGUAAAUGUGGCUGUUCAUCAGAGGCUGACCGGACAUAUCAAGUGCAGAUCUCAUGUGGAUUUUUGGAAUCCAAAUACAGCAUGGAUUUCCAACUCGACAAGCGACAAAACAACCCUGAUUGGAAGAAUAAUGUGAAGGGGACAUCUGACUCCUACACGGACAGCAAUUUCUGAUUUCUACAUGGACAUCAACAUGUGUUCCUACAUGGACAGCAACAUCAAAUUCCUCAGUAUGGACAGUUAUGAUGGUUCAGACAUGGACGGCAACGUUUGCUUCUUACAUAGACAGCAACAUCUGAUUCUUAAAUGGACAGCAACAUCUGAUUCCUACAUGGGCAGCAAUGUUUUAUUCUUAAAUGGACAGCAACAUCUGAUUGAAACAUGGACAGGAACAUCUGAUAUGUGAAGAAAUUAAUGGAACUUAAGUCAAGAACGCUCAUCACAAACUUCCGUCAUUCAGGGUUUUUGUUAAGAGCAGACAGUACACAGUUGAAGGACACGCUAAAAAGUUUCUUUUCUCAUGUUUAUUAAAUCCUUGAAAAGUCCCAAACAUUAUAUAAUUCAGUGUUUAGUUAUCCAUUUCAAACUUGCAUCAUCGUAUAGUGACACUGUGAACUUAUGUGGUUUAAAACUUAAGAAAUUGUACGGUUAUUCAAGAUCCAUGUCACCAGUUUAGGCAUCCACAUCAAAAGAUUUAAAUUAAGUGGUAUGCGCAAAUACUUCUAAAUACUUGAGGCCUACUGAUGUAACUGCCAAAAUUAUUUAAAGUUAAGUUUAAUACUGAUCUUUGAAGUAACCGAUGUUGUUUUUUUGUUUUAAAGAUUCUUAAUAAAAAAAUGGUAACAUUUAAGAAUUAUAAUUUUUAGUUUCAGUGUAAUAAAUAAAAAUGAUACAUUAAUAAUCUAAACCCGUUUUUGUCUGAUUGUCAUUAUUUUGUUGUCAAGCCUGUAUUUAUUUGUUUAAAAAGAUUUAUUUGACUCCAUAAAACGAAACAAACGUGCACAUCAGGCAAUCUUAGCUCAUUCAAAUUUUAUUUAAAAAAACGACAAACGUAAUAAAUUAUUUAUUAAAACAAAACCGACAAACAAGUUUAUGUUCCCUUGUGGCCGAGUAGGCAUGAUUGGUAGUCUUGAUUCAAGACAAUACUCUUGAGAAAGCGCCCUCUUCUGGCAAUAUUAAUUAUUUGCGGCACUAUUAACAACAUAUUAAUUAUUAUCGCCACAAGAGGGCGCUCUCUCGACGACUGAUCCAGAGACUAAUCGCUAUUGCGUAUAUACGCGUAUAAUACAUGUGCGCAUCAAUAUUUCGUUCUAAUGUUUAUCACCUCAAAAAUUUUUUUCUCCAACCCGGAAGACGCCAUAGCCUAGCGGAUAGGGAGACGGCUUCAAAGGACUACACUGGAGACAUCUGUGCGGGUUCGAGCCCCGGCCAGGACACCACCCACAUGGAGACACCAGAGGAACGCCCACGGACCCCGGACCACGACGAGGAGGCAACAUGGCGGAGAUACACCAGGGGGAGGCGUGGACCCGGAGAGAGAGAGAGAGAGGGGGGAGAGGUGGACCGGGCAGGAAGGAAAGUGGAGGCGAGAUUUUUUUUUUAAUUAAAUUUUAUUUAAUUUUAAUAAAAAAAAAAAAAAAAAGUCAAAAUUAACGGUGAAUGGUUUUCUUAAAAUCGCCUGAAACGCACGCUCGUUAAUUUUUUUCAUUUUCCAUUAAAGGAAAUCCAUAAUUGUAAAAACUUGCAAAAAUCACCACUAAAUUUUGCUUUUUUAAAUUUCAUUUUCUUAAAAUCGCCUGAAACGCAUGCUCGUAAA